This 503-nucleotide ribosomal RNA is filed under the name uncultured bacterium. RNAcentral's name for it is "bacterial SSU rRNA". It matches the Rfam family "Bacterial small subunit ribosomal RNA", at positions 28 to 526 of the family's 1533-position model. The record is from RNAcentral.
GAUGAACGCUGGCGGCAGGCUUAAUACAUGCAAGUCGAACGGUACCAUGGGCAGCAAUGCUUGAUGACGAGUGGCGCACGGGUGCGUAACGCGUAUGCAACCUACCUGUAAUUGGGACAUAACGUUGAGAAAUCGGCGCUAAUAUCUCAUGUGAAUAUGAAUGGGCAUCUAUUUAUAUUUAAAGAUUUAUUGAUUACGGAUGGGCAUGCGUAUCAUUAGCUAGUUGGUAGGGUAACGGCUUACCAAGGCGACGAUGAUUCGGGGCUCUGAGAGGAGUUUCCCCCACACUGGAACUGAGACACGGUCCAGACUCCUACGGGAGGCAGCAGUAGGGAAUAUUGGGCAAUGGAGGCAACUCUGACCCAGCCAUGCCGCGUGCAGGAAGACGGUCCUAUGGAUUGUAAACUGCUUUUAUAAUAGAGUAACCGCGGGGACGUGUCCUCGCCUGCAAGUAUAUUAUGAAUAAGCAUCGGCUAACUCCGUGCCAGCCGCCGCAGUAAUAC